RNAcentral lists this transfer RNA (75 nucleotides) under Acidobacteriota bacterium. Its description in RNAcentral is "Acidobacteria bacterium tRNA-Arg". It matches the Rfam family "tRNA". Rfam says of the family: Transfer RNA (tRNA) molecules are approximately 80 nucleotides in length. Their secondary structure includes four short double-helical elements and three loops (D, anti-codon, and T loops). Lineage: Bacteria; Pseudomonadati; Acidobacteriota. RNAcentral also lists the same sequence under 4 other names. The record is from RNAcentral.
GGCCCCGUCGUUCAACGGAUAGGACUUCAGUUUCCUAAACUGACUAUGCAGGUUCGAUUCCUGCCGGGGCUACCA